CCUACGGGCGGCUGCAGUGGGGAAUAUUGCAUAAUGGGCGCAAGCCUGAUGCAGCCAUGCCGCGUGUGUGAAGAAGGCCUUCGGGUUGUAAAGCACUUUCAGCGGGGAGGAAGGCGUUAAGGUUAAUAACCUUGGCGAUUGACGUUACCCGCAGAAGAAGCACCGGCUAACUCCGUGCCAGCAGCCGCGGUAAUACGGAGGGUGCAAGCGUUAAUCGGAAUUACUGGGCGUAAAGCGCACGCAGGCGGUCUGUCAAGUCGGAUGUGAAAUCCCCGGGCUCAACCUGGGAACUGCAUUCGAAACUGGCAGGCUAGAGUCUUGUAGAGGGGGGUAGAAUUCCAGGUGUAGCGGUGAAAUGCGUAGAGAUCUGGAGGAAUACCGGUGGCGAAGGCGGCCCCCUGGACAAAGACUGACGCUCAGGUGCGAAAGCGUGGGGAGCAAACAGGAUUAGAUACCCGUGUAGUC
Molecule: ribosomal RNA, 465 nt
Filed under: uncultured Klebsiella sp.
Lineage: Bacteria; Pseudomonadati; Pseudomonadota; Gammaproteobacteria; Enterobacterales; Enterobacteriaceae
Description: bacterial SSU rRNA
Rfam family: Bacterial small subunit ribosomal RNA
Source: RNAcentral